AAAUAAUCUGAUAUGUACACAAUUGUUGUACAAAUGACUUGUGUCAUGCACAAAGUAGAUGUCCUAACUGACUUGCCAAAACUAUUGUUUGUUAACAAGCCAAUUUUGGAGUGGUUGAAAAACCUAAGUGUAUGUAAACUUCCGACUUCAACUGUAUAAUAAUAAACCAAUAUUCAGAAUUCCUGAAAUCUCAGCGUCAUCAGUGGACAGGAUUAUUAGCUUCUUAAGGAGCUCUAGAGCAAAAUAUGUAGUUGGUCUAGACACUGUAUUCCUGAAAUAUGCUCUGAUUGUUCCUUUUGUACAUCUAGUUAAUCUGUCCAUCAAAUACUGCUGCGGUGAUACACGUUUUAAAAUUUGGUGACCCAAAACUGGUGGAAAAUUACCGACCUAUAAUUCUUCCAGUGCUAUCAAAGUAGCUGACAGAUGGAUGGCUGAUUAUCUGACUGAUCACCUCAUUCAGGGCAAUGACAUAAAUUAAAUUAAAUUUGGAUUCAGUAUUGACCAUUCUACCGAAACAGACAAUUACUAUUUUCUGGAGUGCAUUAAAUCUAAAAUGGAUAUAGGUGGUGAAGUCAGGUAUUUUGGGAUCUUAAAAACGACUUUGAUAAUGUGAAUCAUUGAGUCCUCCUAUCGAAACUAUCCUCCCAUAAUGUCCACUGAAGUUAUUAGUUGGAUGUAUUCCUAUCUGACAACAGAAGUCAAAGGGUUGGUUUGGGGGACACUCAGUCAGACUCUCUUUAAUACAACAUUGGGGUCCAACAAGGGUCAAUAUCAGGCCCCCUUCUGUUUACCAUAUAUAUAAAUCAUCUCCCACUUGCUUGCCCACAAGUUAACAUGCAGAUGUAUGCAGAUGGUACAGUCAAAAAAAUAAACAACUAGAUGUUAACAAGUUAACUGAAGCAAUGGUGAUGUUUCUCAAUUGAUGACUAAUUAUUGCCUGCAUUUUGACAAGACUUUGUAUGUACUUCUCUAAUAAAUCCAUUGAUUCUUUCCAAUCAGCUGUUCUUGUUAAAACCUGGUUGGGCUAGGUGUCCCGCAACUUCCGGUGGAACUGUAGGGCGUGCAAUUCAAAUAAAUAUUCAAAAAAAUUAUGGAUAUUAAACAUUUAGGUACAUACAAGUGUCUUAUAUCAGUUGAAAGCCUUAUUCAGGAUCGGUGUCCCUUCCGCGGUACGGUUGAGCUAGCGUAGGCUAAUGCGAGUAGCAUGAGGUUGUAUGUAACAAGAACAUUUCCCAGGACAUAGACAUAGGCACAUUUGGGCAGUCUUGAAACAACAUUUAACAGAAAUGCAAUGGUUCAUUGGAUCAAACUUGGCACAUACACUGCUGCCAUCUAUUGCCCGAAAUCUAAACUGCACCUGGGCUGGAAUAAUACAUUAUGGCCUUUCUCUUGGAUUUCAAAGAUGGCACAAAAAAUAUACAAAAGAACGGCUGUUUUUCCUUUACCGGAUCUAUUGUGUUAUAUUAUCCUACAUUCCUUUCACAUUUCCACAAACUUCAACGUGUUUCCUUUCAAAUGGUACCGAGAAUAUGCAGUCUGUGUCCCUGCACUUGAACUCAUUUCUUAUUGGCUUUGGAAGUUACAAGCCUGAAACCUGGAACAGACUGCUGACACCCUGUGGAAGCCAUAGGAAUUGCAUCCUGGGAGCUAGAAUUCAGCAUUAAAAAAAAUAACUCCGGUUGGUUUUUCUUUGGAUUUUCUCCUACCAUAUAUAUUGUGUUAUAGUCUCCUACAUUGUUUAAAAAUGUAUACAAACUUCAAAGUGUUUUCUUUCCAAUGGUACCAAUUAUAUGCAUAUUCUGGCUUCAGGGCCUGAGCAACAGACAGUUUACUUUGGGCACGUCAGUCAGGCGGAAAUUGAGAGAAAAAGGGGCCUAGCCUUAAGAAGUUUUAAUGGGGAGAAUAUUAAAGUUGUGUCUAAUUUCAGGUAUCUGGGCAUCAUUUUGGACUCCAACUUGACGUUCAAGAAACAUUUGAAGAAGUUGCAGUCGUCUCACCGCUGCAAAUUCCGUAUGGACUCAGAAGAGGCGACGGUCAAGAGCCAUGUGUCCUCAAAACACAACCCAAACAAGCCACACUGCUUCUUGACACAAUGCCCGCUUAAGCCAGCCAUACCUCUGUGUUAGAGGAAACACCAUGUACCUGGUGACCGUGUCAGCGUACAUUGCGGAGGAGUCACUAGGGCGUGGAGUCACUAGGGCGUGAUGGGGCAAGGACAUGCCUUGAGAUGGAUGAAAUCAUACCUUUAAGGCAGAACUCAGUGUGUCAGAGUGAGCAAUGAGCUGUCGCCCACUCUUAGCUAUGAUGUGGGAGUGCCCCAUGGGUCAAUACUGGGGCCCUUCCUGUUCAGCCUGUACAUUAAUGAUGUGCCUUCUGUCUGUACUGGGUCUGAAGUUCAAAUGUAUGCAGAUGAUAGAGUGAUAUAUGUGCAUGCAAAGAGCAAGCUGCACAAGAACUCACUAUUGUAAUGGUCCAGGGUACAAAGUGGCUCAGUCACUCAUAUUUGCAUCUCAAUGUGAAAAACCGGCAUGUUCUUCACAAAGAGGACAACUGAUGCUACUGAUCCAGAUGUCUAUGUGUCAGGGGAGAAGUUCCAGGUGGUAUCUGAUUUUAAGUACAUUGGCAUCAUACCUGAUUCCAACCUCUCUUUAAAAAGCAGAUGAAAAAGGUAAUUAAAAUAACCAAAUUCAACCUAGCUCAUUUCCGUUUUAUACAGAAUUGUUUGACUACAGAGGUAGCAAAACUGUACUUCAUAUCUAUGAUACUCCCCCACUUAACAUACUGCUUAACUAGUUGGGCCCAAGCUUUCUGUACAACAUUAAAACACAUUCAGUCUGUCUACAAACAGGCUCUCAAAGUGCUUGAUAGGAAGCCCAAUAUCCAUUAGAAAGCAUGAGCUCCUGAGUUGGAAAACUCUUGUGCAAU
Long non-coding RNA from Oncorhynchus tshawytscha (Chinook salmon), 2925 nucleotides. NCBI's taxonomy places the organism in Eukaryota, Metazoa, Chordata, Actinopteri, Salmoniformes, Salmonidae. The record is from Ensembl.